UAAGCAUCAUUCAUCAUCUUCCUGGAGCAGGAUGCUCAUCGUGCAAGGAUCAAUGAAGACUUAAAAACAUUAUUGCAAUCGUGCGCGCUGCAAUCGAGUGUUAUUUCGCUUAAAUAACAUAAUCGCGGAGUAGAAGCAGUGAUUGUUCGUCAACUUAAAUUUACUCGCGUUUCGCGAUUUAAAUUAUUCUUUAGGAAUAUGUAAACGUGAACGGACUGCGUGCAAGGCAGUCGCGUAAUAAAUAAAUAAUUGUCGCGUAUUAGAGUCAGUGCAUCAUGGAAGAUUAUCAAGAAACUAGUACACAUUCUUUUAGGAUAUUAUUGAUCAUCACAGUUGUAGCAGUCUACAAUCAUUUGAACCUCUACCCAAUUUCGACCUACAUCGAUGUCUACCUACCUCAUUUUCAACCUACAACGCGGACGAGUGUUUUGGA
Molecule: long non-coding RNA, 433 nt
Organism: Vespa mandarinia (Asian giant hornet)
Lineage: Eukaryota; Metazoa; Arthropoda; Insecta; Hymenoptera; Vespidae
Source: RefSeq, a predicted model, not a curated record